GAUAUCCUAUCUGGGGAAUGGCUUGGCUUGGAACGCCGAUGAAGGACGUGGUAAGCUGCGAUAAGCCCAUGCGAGGCGCAUACAGCCGUGGAACAUGGGAUUUCCGAAUGGGACUUCCUGCCCUUUUGGGCGAUCCGUGAGGAUCGGGAACGCGGGGGAUUGAAGCAUCUUAGUACCCGCAGGAAAAGAAAUCAACAGAGAUUCCGUUAGUAGGGGCGACUGAAAGCGGAACAGGGCAAACUGAAUCCCGCAAGGGAGAUGUGGUGUUAUGGGCCCUCUUCAAAACUUAGGAAGGGAUGCCGAAGUUGCCUGGAAUGGCACACCAUAGAGGGUGAAAGUCCCGUAGGUAUAACCAACCUAAGUUUGAGGUGUCCCUGAGUACCGUGCGUUGGAUAUCGCGCGGGAAUAUGGGAGGCAUCGACUUCCAACCCUAAAUACGUUCCAAGACCGAUAGCGUACUAGUACCGUGAGGGAAAGCUGAAAAGCACCCUUAAUCGGGUGUGAAAAGAGCCUGAAACCAGAUAGGGAUGGAAUGGCAUGGCUCCAAAGGCAACUGUUCCGAAGGAACCCCUUGCAAAAGGGCAGUACGAGGAACAGAGUCCAGGGUUGUGCCGUCCGUUUCGAAAAACGGGCCGGGGAGUGUAUGGUUGUGGCGAGCCUAAGACCUUAAAGGUCGGAGGCGUAGGGAAACCAACAAGUCCGCAGGCUUUGCCGAGGGACGGGGUCUUAAGGGCCCGGAGUCACAGCCAUACGACCCGAAACCGGGCGAUCUAGGCCGGGGCAAGGUGAAGUCCCUCAUCAGAGGGAUGGAGGCCUGCAGAGGUGCUGCCGUUCGAAGCGCUCUUCUGACCUCGGUCUAGGGGUGAAAGGCCAAUCGAGCCCGGAGAUAGCUGGUUCCCCCCGAAGUAACCCUAAGGUUAGCCGGAGGUUAGGUAGAUAGCAGGGUAGAGCACUGAUAGGGUGGUUAGGGGGCGAAAGCCCUCGCCACUCUGUCAAACUCCGAACCUGUUGUCGCCGCAGCCUCUGAGUAAGGGCAUACGGGUAAGCUGUAUGUCCGAGACGGGAAUAGCCGUGACUCAGGUUAAGGUCCCUAAGUGCCGGUUAAGUGUGAACACGAAGGGCGUCCUUGGCCUAAGACAGCAGGGAGGUUGGCUUAGAAGCAGCCAUCCUUAAAAGAGUGCGUAACAGCUCACCUGUCGAGGUCAGGGGCCCCGAAAAUGGACGGGGCUAAAUCGGCCACCGAGACCUGAGGGCACCGAAAGGUGAUCCGGUAGGGGGGCGUUCUGCGAGGGCAGAAGCUUGGCUGUGAAGUCAAGUGGACCUCGUAGAAAUGAAGAUCCCGGUAGUAGUAACAGCAUAAGUGGGGUGAGAAUCCCCACCGCCGAAGGGGCAAGGGUUCCACAGCAAUGUUCGUCAGCUGUGGGUAAGCCGGUCCUAACUUCCGAGGUAACUCCUUUGGAAGGAAAGGGAAACAGGUUAAUAUUCCUGUGCCAUCUAAAUACACGCGGCAACGCAAGGUCAGUUUCUGACGCUUCAGGGUAGGCUAACUGCCUUUGUCAGGGUAGUCAAGUGUAUAAGUCCGGGGAGAGUUGUAAUAACGAGAACCGGAUGAAAGCACGAUGAGCUGUCCGUUAGGACGGUUUGGUCGAGCUCUGGAGCCCGUGAAAAGGGAACUGACAUGGAUUUUAGAUGACCGUACCCAGAACCGACACUGGUGCCCCUAGGUGAGUAUCCUAAGGCGUAUCGGAUGAAUCUAGUCGAGGGAAGUCGGCAAAAUGGCCCCGUAACUUCGGGAGAAGGGGUGCCAGCGACCUUACUUAUAAGUGGGGUUGCUGGUCGCAGUGACCAGGGAGGUCCGACUGUUUAAUACAAACAUAGGUCUUAGCUAGUCUGAAAAGAUGUGUACUAAGGCCGACGCCUGCCCAGUGCUGGUACGUGAACCCCGGGUUCAACCGGGCGAAGCGCCAGUAAACGGCGGGGGUAACUAUAACCCUCUUAAGGUAGCGAAAUUCCUUGUCGGGUAAGUUCCGACCUGCAUGAAUGGCGUAACGAGACCUCCACUGUCCCCGACUAGAAUCCGGUGAACCUACCAUUCCGGUGCAAAGGCCGGAGACCUCCAGUGGGAAGCGAAGACCCCGUGGAGCUUUACUGCAGCCUGCCGUUGGGGCAUGGUUGUGGGUGUACAGUGUAGGUGGGAGCCGUCGAAACCUCCUCGCCAGGGGAGGUGGAGGCAACCAUGGGACACCACCCUCCCAUGACCAUGUCCCUCACCCAAGUAUGGGGACACCGGUAGGUGGGCAGUUUGGCUGGGGCGGUACCCUCCUAAAAAUGCAUCAGGAGGGCCCAAAGGUCGGCUCAGGCGGGUCAGGACUCCGCUGUUGAGUGUAAGGGCAAAAGCCGGCCUGACUUGGUUGCCCAAAAUACGCAACCAAGAGGCGAAAGCCGGGCCUAACGAACCCCUGUGCCUCACCGAUGGGGGCCAGGGAUGACAGAAAAGCUACCCCGGGGAUAACAGAGUUGUCGCGGGCAAGAGCCCAUAUCGACCCCGCGGCUUGCUACCUCGAUGUCGGUUUUUCCCAUCCUGGAUCUGCAGCAGGAUCCAAGGGUGGGGCUGUUCGCCCAUUAAAGGGGAUCAUGAGCUGGGUUUAGACCGUCGUGAGACAGGUUGGUUGCUAUCUGCUGGAGGUGUUGGCUGCCUGAGGGAAAGGUGGUUCUAGUACGAGAGGAACGAACCGCCGGUGCCUCUAGUCUAUCGGUUGUCCGACAGGGCAUUGCCGAGCAGCCACGCACCAAGGGAUAAGGGCUGAAAGCAUCUAAGCCCGAAACCCAUCCUGAAAACAGGCAGCCAGUCCCUUCGGGGACGAGGGCUCCCGUAGAAGACGGGUUUGAUAGGCUAGGGAUGUAAGCACCGAGGGUUCGCCCGAGGUGUUUAGUUCGCUAGUACUAAUCGCCCGAGGGAUAUUU
Molecule: ribosomal RNA, 2964 nt
Filed under: Methanothermococcus okinawensis
Lineage: Archaea; Methanobacteriati; Methanobacteriota; Methanococci; Methanococcales; Methanococcaceae
Also listed under: 1 other name
Description: 23S ribosomal RNA
Rfam family: Archaeal large subunit ribosomal RNA
Source: RNAcentral